This 253-nucleotide ribosomal RNA is filed under the name uncultured bacterium. RNAcentral describes it as "partial 16S ribosomal RNA". It matches the Rfam family "Bacterial small subunit ribosomal RNA", at positions 524 to 776 of the family's 1533-position model. The record is from RNAcentral.
UACAGAGACUGCAAGCGUUGUUCGGAUUCAUUGGGCGUAAAGGGUCCGUAGGCGGUCGGUUAAGUCGGAUGUGAAAUCUCACAGCCUAACUGUGAGCGGUCAUUCGAAACUAAUCGGCUAGAGGGCUGGAGAGGAGACUGGAAUUGUCGGUGUAGCGGUGAAAUGCGUAGAGAUCGACAAGAACACCGGUGGCGAAGGCGACGUCCUGGACCGGCAUUGACGCUGAGGCGCGAAAGCCAGGGGAGCAAACGGG